ACUCCUACGGGAGGCAGCAGUGGGGAAUAUUGCACAAUGGGCGCAAGCCUGAUGCAGCCAUGCCGCGUGUGUGAAGAAGGCCUUCGGGUUGUAAAGCACUUUCAGUCGUGAGGAAGGUAGUGUAGUUAAUAGCUGCAUUAUUUGACGUUAGCGACAGAAGAAGCACCGGCUAACUCCGUGCCAGCAGCCGCGGUAAUACGGAGGGUGCGAGCGUUAAUCGGAAUUACUGGGCGUAAAGCGCAUGCAGGUGGUUUGUUAAGUCAGAUGUGAAAGCCCGGGGCUCAACCUCGGAAUAGCAUUUGAAACUGGCAGACUAGAGUACUGUAGAGGGGGGUAGAAUUUCAGGUGUAGCGGUGAAAUGCGUAGAGAUCUGAAGGAAUACCGGUGGCGAAGGCGGCCCCCUGGACAGAUACUGACACUCAGAUGCGAAAGGCUGGGGAGCAAACAGGAUUAGAUACCCUGGUAGAUAGCG
RNAcentral lists this ribosomal RNA (472 nucleotides) under uncultured bacterium. Its description in RNAcentral is "bacterial SSU rRNA". It matches the Rfam family "Bacterial small subunit ribosomal RNA", at positions 335 to 800 of the family's 1533-position model. The record is from RNAcentral.